CCUACGGGUGGCUGCAGUGGGGAAUAUUGGACAAUGGGCGCAAGCCUGAUCCAGCAAUGCCGCGUGAGUGAAGAAGGCCCUAGGGUUGUAAAACUCUUUCAGUCGUGAUGAUGAUGACAGUAACGACAGAAGAAGCACCGGCUAACUUCGUGCCAGCAGCCGCGGUAAUACGAAGGGUGCUAGCGUUGUUCGGAAUUACUGGGCGUAAAGCGCGCGUAGGCGGAUUGACAAGUUAGAGGUGAAAGCCCUGGGCUCAACCCAGGAAUUGCCUUUGAUACUGUUAGUCUUGAGGCCGAGAGAGGUGAGUGGAAUUUCCAGUGUAGAGGUGAAAUUCGUAGAUAUUGGAAAGAACACCAGUGGCGAAGGCGGCUCACUGGCUCGGUACUGACGCUGAGGUGCGAAAGCGUGGGGAGCGAACAGGAUUAGAUACCCUAGUAGUC
Molecule: ribosomal RNA, 440 nt
Filed under: uncultured Alphaproteobacteria bacterium
Lineage: Bacteria; Pseudomonadati; Pseudomonadota; Alphaproteobacteria
Description: bacterial SSU rRNA
Rfam family: Bacterial small subunit ribosomal RNA
Source: RNAcentral